CAGCAUCCUGUGAACUUGGCAUUGCGAACCUAUUCUACAAAGAGGAGACUGAAGCUGGAAGAGGAGGAGAAAAAGACCUGGAUGAACAUACCAAAUGGUGCAUGCCCAAGGGAACAUGGACCAAGGCGCCAGUGCCAUUGUGUCACAAAUGACCAAGACCCAUGGGCUAAGAUCUAGAUUCACAUCCUGGACCUCUGUGGCUUGCGUUGAUGUUCUUCUGGGAUCCAUUCUGUCUGCUGCAGCUUCUCAUGAACCAGCUGUUUCUCUGACCCCAAGAUCUGCUCUGAUUAGAGUGGUGGCCCCAUCAAGGAGCAGAGAGGUCUUGCUGGGUUCCUUGCAAAGAAGAACAUUCUACCUGUCAGAGCUCUACAAGAUGGAUUGGCCAGCCUCAGGAGGCAGUAAAUCUCCUGCCAGGAGCAAAGAGACAGUGUCCUCCAGGCUCUCGCUGUGAACAUUUGCAGACAGAGAAUGGACUGCUAUCCAGGAUAGUACCCAAUACAGGGACCCAUCCAGAUGUAAGCACGCAGCUACUGCUCCACCACCAUGCCUGCCUGCCACCGCAUUUCCUGCAGUGAUGAUGUUGGACUCAACCUCUGAAAAUGUAAGCCCCCAUUAAAAUCUUUCUUCUGUAA
This is a long non-coding RNA of Mesocricetus auratus (golden hamster), 632 nucleotides long. RefSeq lists it as uncharacterized. Lineage: Eukaryota; Metazoa; Chordata; Mammalia; Rodentia; Cricetidae. The transcript is spliced from 6 exons. The record is from RefSeq and is a predicted model, not a curated record.